GGAGGAUUACCCAAGUCCGGCUGAAGGGAACGGUCUUGAAAACCGUCAGGCGUGUAAAAGCGCGUGGUGUUCGAAUCCCACAUCCUCCU
RNAcentral lists this transfer RNA (89 nucleotides) under Streptococcus sanguinis. RNAcentral describes it as "tRNA-Ser". It matches the Rfam family "tRNA". From Rfam's summary of the family: Transfer RNA (tRNA) molecules are approximately 80 nucleotides in length. Their secondary structure includes four short double-helical elements and three loops (D, anti-codon, and T loops). The record is from RNAcentral. Lineage: Bacteria; Bacillati; Bacillota; Bacilli; Lactobacillales; Streptococcaceae.